GGAGGUAGUGACAAUAAAUCUCAAUACGAAGCCUUUGGUUUUGUAAUUGAAUUGAGAACAAUGUACAAUCGUUAUCGAUAAACAAUUGGAGGGCAAGUCUGGUGCCAGCAGCCGCGGUAAUUCCAGCUCCAAUAGCGUAUAUUAACGUUGUUGCAGUUAAAAAGCUCGUAGUUGAAGUUUAGAUAAUUUAUUGAAAGUGUUUGUAUUCGUACAUUCUACUUUUAUGUAAGUUAUCGACAUCCAGGUGGGUAUCAUAAUCUCGCAAGGGGUUAGGGUACUAGACUGGUCAUUUACUGUGAGAAAAUUAGAGUGUUUAAAGCGGACUGUUCAGUUUGAAUAGAUUAGCAUGGAAUAAUAAGAUUGGCUUUCAUAGUCGAUUUUUUGGUUUGUUUAUGAAAGCAAGAUUAAUAGGGACAGUUGGGGGUAUUCAUAUUCAAUAGCUAGAGGUGAAAUUCUAUGAUUUAUGGAAGAUGAACAAGUGCGAAAGCA
RNAcentral lists this ribosomal RNA (489 nucleotides) under Blastocystis sp. RNAcentral describes it as "SSU rRNA". It matches the Rfam family "Eukaryotic small subunit ribosomal RNA", at positions 460 to 953 of the family's 1831-position model. The record is from RNAcentral. Lineage: Eukaryota; Bigyra; Opalinata; Blastocystidae.